AAGUGCAGCCCUGUAGUUAACGGUAGG
This 27-nucleotide non-coding RNA is filed under the name Mus musculus (house mouse). The record is from RNAcentral. Lineage: Eukaryota; Metazoa; Chordata; Mammalia; Rodentia; Muridae.